GGUAUGUGGCUCAGUGGCAGAGUGCUUGCCUAACAUGCAUGAAGCCCUGGGUUCGAUUCCUCAGUACCA
Molecule: transfer RNA, 69 nt
Filed under: Dipodomys ordii (Ord's kangaroo rat)
Lineage: Eukaryota; Metazoa; Chordata; Mammalia; Rodentia; Heteromyidae
Rfam family: tRNA
About the family: Transfer RNA (tRNA) molecules are approximately 80 nucleotides in length. Their secondary structure includes four short double-helical elements and three loops (D, anti-codon, and T loops). Further hydrogen bonds mediate the characteristic L-shaped molecular structure. tRNAs have two regions of fundamental functional importance: the anti-codon, which is responsible for specific mRNA codon recognition, and the 3' end, to which the tRNAs corresponding amino acid is attached (by aminoacyl-tRNA synthetases). tRNAs cope with the degeneracy of the genetic code in two manners: having more than one tRNA (with a specific anti-codon) for a particular amino acid; and 'wobble' base-pairing, i.e. permitting non-standard base-pairing at the 3rd anti-codon position.
Source: Rfam by way of RNAcentral